RNAcentral lists this RNase P RNA (338 nucleotides) under uncultured Eubacterium sp. RNAcentral's name for it is "Bacterial RNase P class A". It matches the Rfam family "Bacterial RNase P class A". Rfam says of the family: Ribonuclease P (RNase P) is a ubiquitous endoribonuclease, found in archaea, bacteria and eukarya as well as chloroplasts and mitochondria. Its best characterised activity is the generation of mature 5'-ends of tRNAs by cleaving the 5'-leader elements of precursor-tRNAs. Cellular RNase Ps are ribonucleoproteins. Lineage: Bacteria; Bacillati; Bacillota; Clostridia; Eubacteriales; Eubacteriaceae. The record is from RNAcentral.
GUAGGACAGAUGAUCGCGGAUGAUGCCCCCUAAAGCAUCAUAUGAGGAAAGUCCGGGCUUCACAGGGCAGGAUGCCGGAUAACGUCCGGGAGGGGUGACCCUCGGAAAGUGCAACAGAAAUAUACCGCUGCCUCACGGCAGUAAGGGUGGAAAGGCGAGGUAAGAGCUCACCGCUCGGCUGGUAACAGACGAGGCUCUGUAAACCCCAUCCGAAGCAAGACCAAGCAGAGGCUAUAUGGCUGCCCGUCAUACCUCAGGUAGGUCGCUUGAGAUCUGCGGCAACGCAGACCCUAGAUAGAUGAUCAUCCAACGACAUAACCCGGCUUAUCGUUCUGCUU